RNAcentral lists this ribosomal RNA (496 nucleotides) under uncultured bacterium. Its description in RNAcentral is "bacterial SSU rRNA". It matches the Rfam family "Bacterial small subunit ribosomal RNA", at positions 30 to 518 of the family's 1533-position model. The record is from RNAcentral.
UGAACGCUAGCGACAGGCCUAACACAUGCAAGUCGAGGGGCAGCACAAGGAGCAAUCUGAGGUGGCGACCGGCGCACGGGUGAGUAACACGUAUGCAACCUGCCUGUAAGCGGGGAAGUAACCCGUUGAAAGACGGACUAAUACCGCAUAAUACUAAAUUACUGCAUGGUAAUUUAUUUAAACAUUUAUGGCUUACAGAUGGGCAUGCGCAUGAUUAGCUAGUUGGAGAGGUAACGGCUCCCCAAGGCAACGAUCAUUAGGGGUUCUGAGAGGAAGGUCCCCCACACUGGUACUGAGACACGGACCAGACUCCUACGGGAGGCAGCAGUGAGGAAUAUUGGUCAAUGGACGAGAGUCUGAACCAGCCAAGUCGCGUGCAGGAAGAAUGUUCCCUAUGGAUUGUAAACUGCUUUUGCAGGGGAAUAAAGUGCAUCACGUGUGAUGUUUUGUAUGUACUCUGCGAAUAAGGAUCGGCUAACUCCGUGCCAGCCGCUGC